Non-coding RNA from Paramuricea clavata, 148 nucleotides. Lineage: Eukaryota; Metazoa; Cnidaria; Anthozoa; Malacalcyonacea; Plexauridae. The record is from the annotation of a GenBank genome assembly.
AUAGCACUGCCACGACUCCAAGUGAAAUUAUUUAAUAAAAAAAUAUAUAUGAGUAGCUUUAAAUUUUCGGUGGCAUGCUGCCGAAAAUUUAAAGCUAUAUAUAUAUUUUUUUAUCAAAUAAUUUCACUUGGAGUCGUGGCAGUGCUAU